Molecule: long non-coding RNA, 454 nt
Organism: Bubalus bubalis (water buffalo)
Lineage: Eukaryota; Metazoa; Chordata; Mammalia; Artiodactyla; Bovidae
Exons: 2
Source: RefSeq, a predicted model, not a curated record
CCACCCACACUCAUAGGGAAGAGUUUAUGCAAGGGCAUGAAUUCCAAGAGGGUGGGAUCUGGGGGGCUACCCAUUGAGCAUCUGCCACACAGUCAACAAAGCAGCCUAUAACACUGGUAACACCAUCCCCAUUACACAGGAAAGGCGACUGAGUUUUAUCAACACUAAGGACAUGGUCCAAGGUCACCCAAGUAGAAAGAGACAGGUCUAGGACUUGAACCCUGGUCUGUUUGCUUCUACAACCUGAGCUCUUUACCACAGGACAAUGUCAUGAAAGGAAAACCAGGCCCGGCUGAGAUAAGGCAUUGAUCCCCUCCCAGAGGAGGAAGAAGCCGGCAGGAGCCCUGCAGUUCUCUCUUCGUGGAACAAGAUGGAUGGUUUAUUAGUGAGCCCUUAAUUGUGUGGUUUGUAACUUGGGGAAGUUUAAAGAGAAAAGAAAAGAAGUCUGAACUAG